Molecule: ribosomal RNA, 401 nt
Filed under: Escherichia coli
Lineage: Bacteria; Pseudomonadati; Pseudomonadota; Gammaproteobacteria; Enterobacterales; Enterobacteriaceae
Description: bacterial SSU rRNA
Rfam family: Bacterial small subunit ribosomal RNA
Source: RNAcentral
UUAAAUUGAAGAGUUUGAUCAUGGCUCAGAUUGAACGCUGGCGGCAGGCCUAACACAUGCAAGUCGAACGGUAACAGGAAUCAGCUUGCUGAUUUGCUGACGAGUGGCGGACGGGUGAGUAAUGUCUGGGAAACUGCCUGAUGGAGGGGGAUAACUACUGGAAACGGUAGCUAAUACCGCAUAAUGUCGCAAGACCAAAGAGGGGGACCUUCGGGCCUCUUGCCAUCGGAUGUGCCCAGAUGGGAUUAGCUAGUAGGUGGGGUAACGGCUCACCUAGGCGACGAUCCCUAGCUGGUCUGAGAGGAUGACCAGCCACACUGGAACUGAGACACGGUCCAGACUCCUACGGGAGGCAGCAGUGGGGAAUAUUGCACAAUGGGCGCAAGCCUGAUGCAGCCAUG